RNAcentral lists this ribosomal RNA (719 nucleotides) under uncultured Lachnospiraceae bacterium. RNAcentral describes it as "bacterial SSU rRNA". It matches the Rfam family "Bacterial small subunit ribosomal RNA", at positions 28 to 748 of the family's 1533-position model. The record is from RNAcentral. Lineage: Bacteria; Bacillati; Bacillota; Clostridia; Lachnospirales; Lachnospiraceae.
GAUGAACGCUGGCGGCGUGCUUAACACAUGCAAGUCGAACGGGAAAUAUUUCAUUGAGACUUCGGUGGAUUUGAUCUAUUUCUAGUGGCGGACGGGUGAGUAACGCGUGGGUAACCUGCCUUAUACAGGGGGAUAACAGUCAGAAAUGGCUGCUAAUACCGCAUAAGCGCACAGAGCUGCAUGGCUCAGUGUGAAAAACUCCGGUGGUAUAAGAUGGACCCGCGUUGGAUUAGCUGGUUGGUGGGGUAACGGCCCACCAAGGCGACGAUCCAUAGCCGGCCUGAGAGGGUGAACGGCCACAUUGGGACUGAGACACGGCCCAGACUCCUACGGGAGGCAGCAGUGGGGAAUAUUGCACAAUGGGGGAAACCCUGAUGCAGCGACGCCGCGUGAAGGAAGAAGUAUCUCGGUAUGUAAACUUCUAUCAGCAGGGAAGAUAGUGACGGUACCUGACUAAGAAGCCCCGGCUAACUACGUGCCAGCAGCCGCGGUAAUACGUAGGGGGCAAGCGUUAUCCGGAUUUACUGGGUGUAAAGGGAGCGUAGACGGUGUGGCAAGUCUGAUGUGAAAGGCAUGGGCUCAACCUGUGGACUGCAUUGGAAACUGUCAUACUUGAGUGCCGGAGGGGUAAGCGGAAUUCCUAGUGUAGCGGUGAAAUGCGUAGAUAUUAGGAGGAACACCAGUGGCGAAGGCGGCUUACUGGACGGUAACUGACGUUG